Molecule: ribosomal RNA, 515 nt
Filed under: uncultured Glomus
Lineage: Eukaryota; Fungi; Glomeromycota; Glomeromycetes; Glomerales; Glomeraceae
Description: SSU rRNA
Rfam family: Eukaryotic small subunit ribosomal RNA
Source: RNAcentral
AGCAGCCGCGGUAAUUCCAGCUCCAAUAGCGUAUAUUAAAGUUGUUGCAGUUAAAAAGCUCGUAGUUGAAUUUCGGGAUCAAUGUUUCGGUCAUGCCGUUGGUAUGUACUGAUAUUAUUGGUUUCUCACCUUCUAAAGAACCGUAAUGCCAUUAAUUUGGUGUCGCGGGGAAUUAGGACUGUUACCUUGAAAAAUUAGAGUGUUUAAAGCAGGCUCACGCUUGAAUACAUUAGCAUGGAAUAAUGAAAUAGGACAUCCGAUUCUAUUUUGUUGGUUUCUAGGAUCGAUGUAAUGAUUAAUAGGGAUAGUUGGGGGCAUUAGUAUUCAAUUGUCAGAGGUGAAAUUCUUGGACUUAUUGAAGACUAACUACUGCGAAAGCAUUUGCCAAGGAUGUUUUCAUUAAUCAAGAACGAAAGUUAGGGGAUCGAAGACGAUCAGAUACCGUCGUAGUCUUAACCAUAAACUAUGCCGACUAGGGAUCGGAUGAUGUUAAUUUUUAAUGACUCAUUCGGUCG